This 376-nucleotide long non-coding RNA is filed under the name Nicotiana benthamiana. RNAcentral describes it as "long non-coding RNA (NBEN_LNC024607)". Lineage: Eukaryota; Viridiplantae; Streptophyta; Magnoliopsida; Solanales; Solanaceae. The record is from RNAcentral.
UGUUCCUGAGUCUGAACUCGUACCGCAACAUAAAGUUUACUUCACUCUCAACUGGAAAACAUGAAAGGAUCCUUCACAAGCCCAUAACUCGAGGCUAUACCUCGAAUCACGGUGGAAUUCAAACACCUAAUAGUUCUUCUAUCAUCCAACAGACCUUCCUCGUCACUUCCAAGUCACAUAGAUACAUCUCACAGUACUUACAUAAUCAUCAUAUAGCUAUCCAGCCGUCACUUCCACUAAUAGAGACAAUAUCGAACAUAUAAGUUCAAAACACUUGCUCACACAAUCAGCACCUCGAUGCUCAAGCCAUAGGCAAAGAUUCGGCCUCAAGUCCUCCAGACUGUCCCAACAUCGAACUCACAUAGAUCACAUCUUU